Molecule: ribosomal RNA, 497 nt
Filed under: uncultured bacterium
Lineage: Bacteria
Description: partial 16S ribosomal RNA
Rfam family: Bacterial small subunit ribosomal RNA
Source: RNAcentral
GAUGAACGCUGGCGGCGUGCCUAAUACAUGCAAGUCGAGCGAACAGACGAGGCACUUGCUCCUCUGACGUUAGCGGCGGACGGGUGAGUAACACGUGGAUAACCUACCUAUAAGACUGGGAUAACUUCGGGAAACCGGAGCUAAUACCGGAUAAUCUAUUGAACCGCAUGGUUCAAUAGUGAAAGACGGUUUUGCUGUCACUUAUAGCUGGAUCCGCGCCGCAUUAGCUAGUUGGUAAGGUAACGGCUUACCAAGGCGACGAUGCGUAGCCGACCUGAGAGGGUGAUCGGCCACACUGGAACUGAGACACGGUCCAGACUCCUAAGGGAGGCAGCAGUAGGGAAUCUUCCGCAAUGGGCGAAAGCCUGACGGAGCAACGCCGCGUGAGUGAUGAAGGUCUUCGGAUCGUAAAACUCUGUUAUUAGGGAAGAACAAAUGUGUAAGUAACUAUGCACGUAUUGACGGUACCUAAUCAGAAAGCCACGGCUAACUACGUG